RNAcentral lists this ribosomal RNA (446 nucleotides) under uncultured bacterium. RNAcentral's name for it is "partial 16S ribosomal RNA". It matches the Rfam family "Bacterial small subunit ribosomal RNA", at positions 338 to 795 of the family's 1533-position model. The record is from RNAcentral.
CCUACGGGGGGCAGCAGUCGAGAAUCAUUCACAAUGGGGGAAACCCUGAUGGUGCGACGCCGCGUGGGGGAAUGAAGGUCUUCGGAUUGUAAACCCCUGUCAUGUGGGAGCAAAUUAAAAAGAUAGUACCACAAGAGGAAGAGACGGCUAACUCUGUGCCAGCAGCCGCGGUAAUCCAGAGGUAUCAAGCGUUGUUCGGAAUCACUGGGCGUAAAGCGUGCGUAGGCUGUUUCGUAAGUCGUGUGUGAAAGGCGCGGGCUCAACCCGCGGACGGCACAUGAUACUGCGAGACUAGAGUAAUGGAGGGGGAACCGGAAUUCUCGGUGUAGCAGUGAAAUGCGUAGAUAUCGAGAGGAACACUCGUGGCGAAGGCGGGUUCCUGGACAUUAACUGACGCUGAGGCACGAAGGCCAGGGGAGCGAAAGGGAUUAGAUACCCCAGUAGUC